RNAcentral lists this ribosomal RNA (293 nucleotides) under uncultured bacterium. RNAcentral describes it as "partial 16S ribosomal RNA". The record is from RNAcentral.
GGACUACCAGGGUAUCUAAUCCUGUUUGCUACCCACGCUUUCGCGCCUCAGCGUCAGAUGAUGCCCAGUAUGCUGCCUUCGCCAUGGGUGUUCCUCCUGAUAUCAACGCAUUUCACCGCUACACCAGGAAUUCCACAUACCUCUGCAUCCCUCCAGUCUGGCAGUAUGAAAAGCAAUUUCCGGGUUGAGCCCUGGAGAUUUCACUUCUCACUUACUAGACCGCCUACGCGCUCUUUACGCCCAGUAAAUCCGGACAACGCUUGGACCCUACGUCUUACCGCGGCUGCUGGCAC